RNAcentral lists this ribosomal RNA (621 nucleotides) under Methanosarcina sp. enrichment culture clone C02. RNAcentral's name for it is "bacterial SSU rRNA". It matches the Rfam family "Archaeal small subunit ribosomal RNA", at positions 109 to 728 of the family's 1478-position model. The record is from RNAcentral. Lineage: Archaea; Methanobacteriati; Methanobacteriota; Methanomicrobia; Methanosarcinales; Methanosarcinaceae.
CUGCCCUUGGGUCCGGCAUAACCCCGGGAAACUGGGGAUAAUUCCGGAUAACGCAUAUAUGCUGGAAUGCUUUAUGCGUCAAAUGGAUUCGUCUGCCCAAGGAUGGGUCUGCGGCCUAUCAGGUAGUAGUGGGUGUAAUGUACCUACUAGCCGACGACGGGUACGGGUUGUGAGAGCAAGAGCCCGGAGAUGGAUUCUGAGACAUGAAUCCAGGCCCUACGGGGCGCAGCAGGCGCGAAAACUUUACAAUGCGGGAAACCGUGAUAAGGGGACACCGAGUGCCAGCAUCAUAUGCUGGCUGUCCGGGUGUGUAAAAUACACCCGUUAGCAAGGGCCGGGCAAGACCGGUGCCAGCCGCCGCGGUAACACCGGCGGCCCGAGUGGUGAUCGUGAUUAUUGGGUCUAAAGGGUCCGUAGCCGGUUUGGUCAGUCCUCCGGGAAAUCUGACGGCUUAACCGUUAGGCUUUCGGAGGAUACUGCCAGGCUUGGAACCGGGAGGGGUAAGAGGUACUACAGGGGUAGGAGUGAAAUCUUGUAAUCCCUGUGGGACCACCUGUGGCGAAGGCGUCUUACCAGAACGGGUUCGACGGUGAGGGACGAAAGCUGGGGGCACGAACCGGA